This is a long non-coding RNA of Ornithorhynchus anatinus (platypus), 625 nucleotides long. RefSeq lists it as uncharacterized. The record is from RefSeq and is a predicted model, not a curated record. Lineage: Eukaryota; Metazoa; Chordata; Mammalia; Monotremata; Ornithorhynchidae. The transcript has 4 exons.
GUUCCUUGCAGCCCCGGGCCCCAGAGGAAACCGAGUCUGAACACGGCAGAAGUUGGAAGGCGAGGCCCUGAACUACUGGCAGAGCUGCAGCUGCUACUCUGUUUUCACUGUACACUUUCCAAACCGAGAGAAAAGAUCAUUUUCUAAACAACAUGUUUAUGUCAUCCUUCUCCAACCUUUCAGUUCCCUCGGGACAGCCCUUUUAGAAGAACAAACAACAAACUAAGAUAAUUGCUUGAGAUAAGCUUCCUGUGUAGAGGCCUGACGCAUAUCAAAUGGCAACAGACAGAAUCCAAUAGUCCUACAGAACUGCAACACCAAAGAUGGGGGGAAGGUUGAGAGUAAGCUUUCGAAGCAAGACUCAAAAUCCCAAACCACUCAUUUAGCUGCUGCUGCCCGCUAGGAUGGAUGGAAGCCAGCUUAUCCUCAACUGGAGUGGACAAUCCUGGACCCAUAGAGAAGACACACAACCUGUGGUUGAGCAAGAAAGACAAGAAGCCCAGCCUCCUUACCAAAUGGCGUCCUUCACUUACUUUUUGGUAGCAAGUGCUUUCUGACAAUGAUAACCAUGUUGGUGAUUUUUGCACGUUCCACAUGCGGGAUCCUUCUUUCAAAAAUCUUCCAA